This 511-nucleotide long non-coding RNA is filed under the name Mus spretus (western wild mouse). Its description in RNAcentral is "potassium large conductance calcium-activated channel, subfamily M, beta member 4, opposite strand 2 (ENSMSPG00010017658.1)". Lineage: Eukaryota; Metazoa; Chordata; Mammalia; Rodentia; Muridae. The record is from RNAcentral.
CGAUUGGAGCCUUGAGCGUAGGUGGACUUUCCUGGAAAAAUAGGUGCCAGACAGCGGGAACGACCCCUAGGGGGUGGACGCAAACAGGUGGCAGAGCCUGGCCUAGGGCUGGUGAGAGCAGACUCUGUUGGCCUCUUUAGGAAUAUUGCCACCCUUAGCCCGCCCUGAGAUUUGCAGGUGAACUUUUUCUGGAGCUCUGUGCAAGGCGACCGCGGCUUGCAGACACUUUGGAACUCCACCCUAUCGAUGUACACCUUUAUUCAGCCUCUGUUCUCCUGACUUUUCCUUUUCCUAGAUGAAUGAACUCAGGUUCCUGAUGAAUAACAGUUGCCAAGUCACGGAAAUGUUAAGCCCACUCUACCAGACUUCAAACCCUUUGGCUGGCACUGACAGAGUUCUGGCAUGUUAUGCUGAUGGGUAUUUCCAAACAAUGGGAAAGGAGACCUUUAGUGUCUGUUUUUCUUAAUGAAUAAAAAGGCUGCAGGAUUUGGAAAAACUUUAAAAUCACAAA